RNAcentral lists this ribosomal RNA (402 nucleotides) under uncultured bacterium. RNAcentral describes it as "bacterial SSU rRNA". It matches the Rfam family "Bacterial small subunit ribosomal RNA", at positions 355 to 774 of the family's 1533-position model. The record is from RNAcentral.
UAGGGAAUAUUGGUAAUGUGCGAAAGCGCGAACCAGCAACGCCGCGUGCACGAUGAAGGCCUUCGGGUCGUAAAGUGCUUUUAGAGAGGAUGAGGAAGGACAGUACUUUCUGAAUAAGCCUCGGCUAACUACGUGCCAGCAGCCGCGGUAAUACGUAGGAGGCAAGCGUUAUCCGGAUUUACUGGGCGUAAAGCGCAUGCAGGUGGUUUUGUAAGUUGGAUGUGAAAGCUCCUGGCUUAACUGGGAGAGGUCGUUGACAACUACAAGACUUGAGAUUGGUAGAGNAAAAUGGAAUUCCGGGUGUAGUGGUGAAAUGCGUAGAUAUCCGGAGGAACACCAGUGGCGAAAGCGGUUUUCUGGACCAAUUCUGACGCUCAGAUGCGAAAGCUAAGGUAGCAAACG